GACGAACGCUGGCGGCGUGCUUAACACAUGCAAGUCGAACGGAAAGGCCCCCUUGUGGGGUACUCGAGUGGCGAACGGGUGAGUAACACGUGAGUAACCUACCCUUGACUUUGGGAUAACUUCAGGAAACUGGGGCUAAUGCCGGAUAGGAGCUCCUGCUGCAUGGUGGGGGUUGGAAAGUUUCGGCGGUUGGGGAUGGACUCGCGGCUUAUCAGCUUGUUGGUGGGGUAGUGGCUCACCAAGGCUUUGACGGGUAGCCGGCCUGAGAGGGUGACCGGCCACAUUGGGACUGAGAUACGGCCCAGACUCCUACGGGAGGCAGCAGUGGGGAAUAUUGCACAAUGGGCGGAAGCCUGACGCAGCAACGCCGCGUGCGGGAUGACGGCCUUCGGGUUGUAAACCGCUUUCGCCUGUGACGAAGCGUGAGUGACGGUAAUGGGUAAAGAAGCACCGGCUAACUACGUG
This 465-nucleotide ribosomal RNA is filed under the name uncultured bacterium. RNAcentral's name for it is "partial 16S ribosomal RNA". It matches the Rfam family "Bacterial small subunit ribosomal RNA", at positions 28 to 507 of the family's 1533-position model. The record is from RNAcentral.